GACUCGAGCGCCAGCGAGAGAGCGUUGCCGCAGGCAACGACCUGAAGGGCGAAGCGCGCAGCGCUGAGUAAUCCUUCCCCCACCACCA
This 88-nucleotide small RNA is filed under the name Escherichia coli. RNAcentral's name for it is "partial RtT sRNA". It matches the Rfam family "RtT RNA", at positions 45 to 130 of the family's 130-position model. Rfam says of the family: This family represents a bacterial cis-regulatory element known as RtT RNA. The exact function of RtT is unknown although it is thought that it may be involved in changing the cellular response in relation to amino acid starvation. The record is from RNAcentral. Lineage: Bacteria; Pseudomonadati; Pseudomonadota; Gammaproteobacteria; Enterobacterales; Enterobacteriaceae.